AAUGAUCAUCACCUGAAGCUGAGGAUGAACAGCAGCGGUGAGAUUUCGUGUCUCAGGAUCUCUGGGAUAAUCCACACUUUUGAUAAACUUGAAGACUUCCACAUCUCCACCUUCAAAUACUGUCCCUCCCGUGGGUUUGACAGUACAGUUGUUACAGGAAUCGGCCACACACCGUCUCCCCUCUCCUUCCUCUGUCGCUCCAUCUCCUGCACCAGGUACACACCCGACAGCUCAUUUCCAUGAGUGCCGCCACAAACAGCCACACCACCCAGAGCUGGCAGGAACACAGACGCCAUCUACAACAGACAGUUUGCAUGUUCUCCCUGUGUUGUGGCUUUCCUCCGGGUGCUAUGGUUUCCCCCACAAGUCCAAAGACAUGCGGUACAGGUAAAUUGGCCUUUUCUUCAGUCAUCAGCUCUGGUUCAUCUUUCACACAUAAUGAUGUGGUCACUGAAGCUCGCAAUUUCACUGACCGUGAAGCUUCAGCAUGGAGCUAAUGUU
This 501-nucleotide long non-coding RNA is filed under the name Danio rerio (zebrafish). Its description in RNAcentral is "si:ch211-217k17.3 (ENSDARG00000095518.4)". Lineage: Eukaryota; Metazoa; Chordata; Actinopteri; Cypriniformes; Danionidae. The record is from RNAcentral.